Molecule: ribosomal RNA, 1434 nt
Filed under: Echiniscus blumi
Lineage: Eukaryota; Metazoa; Tardigrada; Heterotardigrada; Echiniscoidea; Echiniscidae
Description: eukaryotic LSU rRNA
Rfam family: Eukaryotic large subunit ribosomal RNA
Source: RNAcentral
CUUGAAACACGGACCAAGGAGUUCAACAUAUGCGCAGGUCGUUGAGUGUCUGGUAUACUCGAAGGCCUAGUGAAAGCAAGCUACAUCAUUAGGUGGUGUAAUAGCGGCGAGAUCCUGGUGCCUCGUGCAUUAGGCGCAUCGCCGACCCGUUUAAUGGCCACGCGCCAUGGACGGAGUUAGAGCGCAUACGCUGAGACCCGAAAGAUGGUGAACUAUGCCUGGGCAGGAUGAAGCCAGAGGAAACUCUGGUGGAAGUCCGUAGCGAUUCUGACGUGCAAAUCGAUCGUCUGACCUGGGUAUAGGGGCGAAAGACUAAUCGAACCAUCUAAUAGCUGGUUCCCUCCGAAGUUUCCCUCAGGAUAGCUGGUGCUCGAUUUUAAGCAGUCUCUCCCGGUAAAGCGAAUGAUUAGAGGCCUUGGGACCGAAACGGUCUCAACCUAUUCUCAAACUUUAAAUGGGUGAGAAGUCCGGCUUACUUGAUUUGAAGUCUGGACCAUAGUUUGGAUGCAUGAGUGCCUAGUGGGCCAUUUUUGGUAAGCAGAACUGGCGCUGUGGGAUGAACCGAACGUUGAGUUACGGCGCCUGAUUAUAGACGCUCAUCAGAUACCACAAAAGGUGUUGGUUGCUAUAGACAGCAGGACGGUGGCCAUGGAAGUCGGAACCCGCUAAGGAGUGUGUAACAACUCACCUGCCGAAGCAACUAGCCCUGAAAAUGGAUGGCGCUAGAGCGUUUAGCCUAUACUCAACCGUUGAAGCACAUGCGGCGGUAAGCAAUUACCGUUUUUCAUGCUUUAUGGCAUACGCAUGCUAGUCAUGCUUCAACGAGUACGAAGGUCGCGGCGAUAUGCUUUGAAAGCUUAGCGGCGUGAGCCGGGCUGGAGCUGUCGUCGGUGCAAAUCUUGGUGGUAGUAGCAAAUACUCAAGCGAGAACCUUGAGGACUGAAGUGAAGAAGGCUUCCAUGUGAACAGCAGUUGAACAUGGGUCAGUCGAUCCUAAGACAUCGGCGAAGGCCGUUCAGAAGCGGUGUCGGUUAUGUGACAGUGUGCUGUUUCGGCAGUAUACUGUCCGGCUAUAGGCGCUCGUUCGUUUAUAGUCGCCGCACCUGUCAAAAGGGAAUUGGAUUAAUAUUUCCAAACCUAACAGCGGAGAUUGGUUGCUCAUUUGGCUGCACGGGCCUUGUGCUCGUUGUAGUCGGGGCAACGCGCUGCGGUAACGCAAACGAACUCGAACACGCUGACUGGAGUCCCGGGAAGAGUUGUCUUUUCUUCAUAAGGAGUCGACUCCAUGGAAUUGGUUCAGCCAGAGAUAUGGAGAUGGCGUCCGAAAAGCAUUGCGCUUCUUGCAAUGUCCGGUGCGCUUCAAGCGGCCCAUGAAAAUUCGAGGGAGAGAAUGAUUUUCGUGUUAGAUCGUACCCAUAUCCGCAGCAGGUCUCC